CAUAAACAUGUUUAUCCCAAUCUUUUUCAUUUUAUCUUUCCUAUUUUCCUCCACCAACGCAGCCGACUUCUGUGUUGGGGACUUGAAUGGCCCUGUAGGCCCUGCAGGCUAUUCUUGCAAGAAGACAGUCACCGUAAAUGACUUCGUUUACUCCGGCCUCGCUGCCACAGGCAACACUUCGAACCUCAUAAAAGCUGCAGUAACACCAGCCUUUUCGGCUCAAUUCCGGGUGUUAACGGACUCGGCAUUUCAAUAGCUCGUUUGGAUUUAGCUGUUGGUGGAGUGAUACCUAUGCAUACUGUUGGAAUAUUUUCAAAUAUUUAUUAGUAUCCCAAUAACUAUAAAUGAAUGGAACUAUAAAUGAAGGGGUGUAAUUAAUCAAAAGAUAAAACUUUUGGUCAUUGGUCAAAAGUUAUAUCAUUUGAUUUUUUUAAAAAAAGACUUAUAACUAUUCAAAAAAUAUUAUUUGAAUAGUUACAAAAUUAAAUGAAUAAUUAUUAUUAUUUAUUUAUUUAUAAAGACACCUAUUGAAAGAUGUCUCUAUGAAGAGACAUUGAAAAUUCCUAUAAAUAGGAAUGGAUUUCAUUGGAAAUCAUAUCAACAAAUUCUAAUAUUAUUUCUUCUCUUCCUUCAUUUUCUAAUAUUAUUAGAUUAUUCUAUAAAGUAUUGCUGCCAGAAAUCCUUUGUAGAAAUUGAGUUUUUGUUAUACAUUACUCAGUGCAUAGUGGACUAUUCUCGUCAGUGCAAAACGCAAAUAGUCAUUGGCUUCAUUGUAUCCUCGAGGUUAAUUUGCUUGGAACUCGUUUGCACACUGAAGAUAAGUGGGGGCGAAUAUAACCUUAAAGAUAGUGGCUUGAUACACGCCUUGGAACCUGUCCUAUUUCUUCUUUUUCUUUUCGAGUUCCGAUCGUGUGUUCGAGUUUUUUCCUUACCGGAGUUUUGUACUAACAAUUUUAAGGUUAUAUUUCAUGAUGACUACCACAACACAUGAAGUGGAACACUAAGGGAGUUGGCUUCCAACUUUGUUAAACUUGAUCGUUUUGAUGGUGGCAAUUUUCGACGAUGGCAGAAAAAGAUGCACUUUUUGUUAUCAACUUUGAAGAUUGCUUAUGUUUUGGAUACUCCAAGACCUGAAGAGAAUGAAAACGAAUCUAUUGCUUGCAAACCCGAGAAAGACAAAAAUGGGACAAUGCUGAUUACAUGUGCAUGGGCCACAUAUUGAAUGGUUUAUCUGAUGGUUUAUUCGACACCUACCAAAAUGACGUCACCGCUAAAGAAUUAUGGGACAAAUGGAGCAAGAUACAUGACCGAAGAUGUUACAAGUAAGAAAUUUCUUGUUAGCCGUUUCAAUAAUUAUCAAAUGGUUGAUGGUCGUUCUGUUAUGGAACAAUUUCGUGAUAUUGAAAAGAUGCUGAAUCAAUUUAAGCAAUAUGAUAUGAAAAUGGAUGAAAUGAUUGUGGUAUCCUCUAUAAUAGACAAACUUCCUCCAUCUUGGAAAGACUUUUAAAAGAGUCUAAAACAUAAGAAAGAGGAAAUAUCUCUUGAGGCUUUGGCAAAUCAUCUUCGUAUUGAAGAAGAGUAUUCGAAAACAAGAUCAGAACCUAAAUUCUGAAAUGCCAAAGUACAUGUUACGGAGGAAGUACAGACUACUAAACCAUUCAAAAGAAAGUUCAAUCAGGCUGAUAGACACCUAAGUUCAAAAAGAAACAAAGGGCUCAUGCUAUCAUUGUGGAAAGCCGGGACAUUUCAAGAAUGAAUGUCGAUUUUUUAAAGAAGAAAUCAUCUUCUAAGGCUGAUAAUAACGAAAAGUUCGUUGCAAUGAUAUCUGAAAUUAAUAUGGCACAAGAUGAUAAUACAUGGUGGAUUGAUACCGGAGCACCAAACAUGUGUGCAAAGACAAAAACAUGUUCACAAAGUUCACACAAUGUGAAAAUGACAAUGUCUUGUACAUGAGAAAUUCUUCCACCGCAACAAUAAAGGCAAAGGGUCUGUUGAACUACAAUUCACUUCUGAAAGGUUUUAACCUUAAAUGAUGUAUAUUAUGUACCAGAAGUUAGGAAAAAUUUAGUGUCUGGAAGUCUGUUGAAUAAGUUUGGUUUCAACUUGUUUUUGAGGCAGAUAAGUUUAUUUUGUCUAAGGGAGGAAUUUUUGUGGGAAAAGGGUAUAUGUAUGAAAGCAUGUUCAAACUUAAUAUUAUUAAUAAGAAUAAAAAUACUAUUUCUGCUUAUAUGGUUGAAUCAUUUGUUUGUGGCCUUAUAGAUUAGGUCAUUUGAAUUAUAGAAAAUGAAUGACAUGUAUAAAUUAGAUUUAAUUCCUGUUUUUAAUAAUAUAUUGAAAAAUGCAAUACCUGUAUGUUGACUAAAAUUACAAGAAAUCCUUUCCCUAAGGUUAAAAGGAAAACAAAAUUGCUUUGAUUUGAUACAUAGUGAUUUAUGUGACUUGCAUAAUACUCCUACAUUAGGUGGAAAGAAAUAUUUUGUUACUUUUAUUGAUGAUUGUUCUAGAUAUUGUUAUGUAUAUUUAUUGCAUUCAAAAGAUGAAGCGCUUGAUAAAUUUAAAGUUAUAAAUCUGAAGUUGAACUUCAGUGUGAAUCAUUUAUCAAGUGCUUAAGAUCGGAUAGAGGUGGAGAAUACUAUAAUCCAAGUUAUUUUGAACUCACUGGAAUUGUCCAUCAAGUUUCAGCCCCUUACACACCACAACAAAAUGGUGUAGCUGAAAGGAAAAUAGAGUCUUGAUUGAAAUGGUAAAUUCAAUGUUAUCAUAUUCAGGUCUUGGACAGGGUUUUUGGGGAGAAGCUGUUCUAACAGCUUGUAUAUAUUGAAUAGAGUUCCUAAUAAGGAAACUAAAAUAACCCCCUAUGAACAAUGGAAGAAAAGGAAACCAAACCUUAAUUAUUUAAAGGUUUGGGGUUGUUAGAGCUAUUGUAAAAGUUCCAACACCUAAACGUAAAAAGUUAGGUGAAAGAGGAAUUGAAUGCAUAUUUAUAGGUUAUGCACAUAAUAGCAAGGCAUAUAGGUUCAUAGUAAUUGAACCAAAUGAUUCAAUUUCAAUUAAUACGGUUAUUGAAUCAAGAGAUGCUAUUUUUGAUGAAAAUAGAUUUAAUUCUAUAUCAAGACAAUUACAACCACAACAAUUGAUUCAUUCUUCAAAUGAGAAUGAGAUUCCAUUGAAACAAAUUGAUAAUAAUGAUGAAUCUUGUCAAGAAUUAAGAAGAAGUAAGAGGAUUAAAAAGGUCAAAGAUUUUGGACCAGAUUUCAUUAUGUUUCUUGUAGAAGGAAAAGGUGAAAGUAUAUGCAAUAAGAUACCUUAUUGUUAUAAUACCGAAUCUGAUCCUAUUACAUUUGAAGAAGCAGUGAAAUCUCAAGACUCUGCUUUUUGGAAAAGAAGCAAUAAAUGAUGAAAUGGAUUCAAUAAUGGGAAAUCAAACUUGGAUCUUAGUUGAUCUUCCACCAGGUUCCAAACCAAUAGGUUGUAAAUGGAUCUUCAAAAAGAAAAUGAAGGUCGAUGGAACCAUUGAUAAAUUUUAAGCAAGGUUGGUAGCAAAAGGUUUUACACAAAGACAAGGUAUUGAUUACUUUGAUACCUAUGCUCCAGUAGCAAGAAUUGCUACAAUUAGACUAUUAAUAUCACUACCUCUAUAUAUAAUUUGGUUGUUCACCAAUGGAUGUUAAAACUACAUUUUUAAAAUGGUGAAUUGGAAGAGGAAGUGUACAUGGAGCAACCGGAAGGAUUUGUUGUUCCAGGACAAGAGCAUAAGGUAUGUAAGCUUGUUAAAUCUUUAUAUGGGCCUUAAACAAGCACCCAAAACAAUGGCACCAAAAGUUUGACAAGGUUGUUUUAGCUAAUGGCUAUAAAAUAAAUGAAUCCGAUAAGUGCAUAUAUAGUAAAUUUGAUAAUGGAAAGGGUGUUAUAAUUUGCUUAUAUGUAGAUGACAUGCUCAUUUUUGGCACGGAUUUGGAACAAAUAGAAAACACAAAGAAAUUCUUGUCAAACAACUUUGCUAUGAAGGAUAUGGAUGUAGCAGAUGUUAUUCUUGGGAUUAAAAUAACCCGAGAUGAAAGCACUAUAGCUUUAUCACAAUCACAUUACAUUGAAAAUGUGCUUAAGAAGUUUGAUCUUUUCAACUGUAUACCAGCAUCUACACCCAUGGAUCCUCAAUUAAAAUUAGUAUCUAAUGCUGGUAGGAAAAUUGAUCAAUUGAAAUAUGCAAGUCUAAUUGGUUGUUCUUAUGUACAUAAUGACUUGUACAAGACCAGAUAUUGCAUAUGCUAUUGGAAAAUUGAGUAGAUACACAAGUAAUCCAAGUAGUUUGCAUUGGCAAGCUUUAAAUAGAGUACUUAGGUACUUAAAGAAAACUAUUAACUAUGGAUUGUGUUAUAAUGGAUAUCCUCCAGUUUUAGAAGGGUAUUCGAGUGCUAGUUGGAUUACAAGCUUGGAAGAUCAUGCAUCUACUAGUGGGUGGAUCUUCAUUCUUGGUGGAGGAGUCAUUUCUUGGGGUUCCAAGAAACAAACAUGUAUUACCGAUUCCACCAUGGCAGCAGAAUUUAUUGCAUUAGCCGCUGCAUCUAAAGAAGCAGAAUGGUUAAGAAAUUGCUUUAUGAUGUACCUUUAUGGCUUAAGCCAAUUUCACCUAUUUUUAUCCGUUGUGAUAGUGAGUCUACUCUAGCAAAGGCAUAUAGCCAAGUAUAUAAUGGAAAGUCUAGACACAUGGGAUUAAGACAUAGUUAUGUCCGACAAUUAAUCUCUGAUGGAGUGAUCACUAUUAAUUAUGUGAGGUCAAGUGAAAUUUGGCAGAUCCUUUGACAAAAAGUCUUGCUAGAGAUGUCGUAAAAAGGACCUCAAAAGGGAUGGGACUCAAGCCUAUUAAUUAGAGUCACCCAUGCUGGAAACCGACUCAAACGCUGGUAUACCGUCAAGUCUUGAGUUCAAUGAGACAAAGUACAUCAUUAGUAUGUGACUGUUAGCACUAUAAAUAAAUCCAUCCUAGAUUAAAGUGCUAGGUACCCGUAAUGAUAAGGGAAGGAUGAGUAAUGUACUCUUAAUGGACCCAUAACAUAAUAUGUUAGAGUGUUUAUAAUUACGGGAACACUUUUGAUGGGAUCUACCUAUGUGAGUGGAAGUGUGGCCGCUUCUAGGAGCUUAAGGGCUUGGCUCUAACAGCACUCAUGAAAAGAGGACAUAGACACAUGGCUAUAAUAGUAUCCCUAGAUACUAUGCAUUGACUGAUGUUGAAAUCAUUGUGUGAGAUGUGUUCAGUUAAUCAAAUGGAAUAGUUGGUUCAAAGCUUAGUCUACCAUACAAUUUCGAUUAACUUUAACAUGUUUUCACUAAGUGAAGGUUCAAUCGUAAGACACCUUUAUUUAUGCAAAUUGAUUUCCAAGAAUAUCAAAAUCUAAUAUUUUGAAAAUGGGGGAGAUUGUUGGAAUAUUUUCAAAUAUUUAUAGUAUCCCAAUAACUAUAAAUGAAUGGGUGUAAUUAAUCCAAAAGAUAAAACUUUUGGUCAUUGGUCAAAAGUUAUAUCAUUUGAUUUUUAAAAAAAAAGAAUUAUAAACUAUUCAAAAAAUAUUAUUUGAAUAGUUACAAAAUUAAAUGAAUAAUUGUUAUUAUUUAUUUAUUCAUAAAGACACCUAUUGAAAGAUGUCUCUAUGAAGAGACAUGAAAAUUCCUAUAAAUAGGAAUGGGAUUUCAUUUGGAAAUCAUAUCAACAAAUUCUAAUAUUAUUUCUUCUCUUCCUUCAUUUUCUAAUAUUAUUAGAUUAUUCUAUAAAGUAUUGCUGCAGAAAUCCUUUGUAGAAAUUGAGUUUUUUGUUAUACAUUACUCAGUGCAUAGUGGACUAUUCUCGUCAGUGCAAAACGCAAAUAGUCAUUGGCUUCAUUGUAUCCUCGAGGUUAAUUUGCUUGGAACUCGUUUGCACACUGAAGAUAAGUGGGGGCGAAUAUAACCUUAAAGAUAGUGGCUUGAUACACGCCUUGGAGCCUGUCCUAUUUCUUCUUUUUCUUUUCGAGUUCCGAUCGUGUGUUCGAGUUUUUUCCUUACCGGAGUUUUGUAUUAACAAUACACCCUGGGGCUUCUGAAGUCCUUGUUGUUAUUCAAGGCACAAUUUGUGCUGGUUUCAUAUCCUCAGCUAACAAAGUUUACUUCAAAUCUCUGAAUAAAGGAGAUAUUAUGGUAUUCCCACAAGGUUUAUUACAUUUCCAAAUCAAUGCAGGCAAAACUCAAUCCUUGGCAUUUGUAUCCUUCAGCAGUCCAGACCCUGGUCUCCAAAUCCUCGACUUUGCCUUGUUUGCAAAUGACUUGCCGACUGACAUUAUUGAAGAAACCACUUUUCUGGAUGCUGCUCAGAUUAAGAAGCUGAAGGGUGUUCUUGGAGGAACUGGUUAAUAUUAUUUGAACUUGUUGAGAGUCCCUUUUUUUUUCUUUUUUUUUUUGUAUGCUUUCACGUUUGCUUGUGUCUUCUUGUCAGUGGUAGUUUGUUUGAAAUUACUAGCAAAAGAGUGAGUCUCUGUUGUGUUUCUUUGUGUUCCUUCUUCAGGUUCUAUUGUGAACCAAAAAUGUAAUAAAAAAGACCAUCCCUUUCUCGAUCUGAAAAGGUUUAAAUAAAUGCAAUUAUGUUGUUUAUCUUUCUCCCUUAAAAUGGGAAAUAGCCAACUUCAUUAAUCUCCAAAGAUGAUGGUGAGUAGCUGCAAUUGUUUGGUGGGGAAUACUGCACUGACAGAAUUUUUGGGAUGACCAUAUACCCCCUUCUCCAUUAAGAAAGAAUAUUUUAUUCCAACCCGGAUUUAAGAUAUUUAAAAAUAUUUAGAUAAAAUUAUGAGAGAAUAUAUAUUUUGGUUGGGAGUUGGUCACUACUAAAAUUGAUUACUUUCGUAAACCUUAUCAAGUAGUAGUACAAUAUAUGGUCCAAAUUCUUUUGAAAUUUAUACUGAUCAGCAAUCACUGAAUCAGAUAUGUUUUGGAGUGUAUGGCAAAACUCCCCUUGAUGCUAAACAAGUGAAAAGAGGGUUUAAUAUUAGGAUCAAUUGCACCGUACAUCAUUGGAUUUAGAUUGUAAAUUGAUCAAAAUUUUUAAAAUACUAUCAAUAUCAUAUUAAUUAAGGGUCUGUUUGAUUGAAGAAAUUGAUUUUCCGGAAAAUCAUUUCCAACUUUUCCAGCGUUUGAUUGGCGAAAAACAUUUUCCAUUUGGAAAAUGAACUCCAAAACAAGGAAAAAUGGGUUACAUUUUAGGGAAAAUGUCUUACCCUUUCAAUUUCCGUAAAACAUUUUCCGUGCUCUCCUCUCUAUCGCCUCCUUCAUUCCUUCCUCAUUUUCGGUAGAAAAUUGCUUCUAUUUAUCGAUUUUCCAGUAACUUGUUUUUUUAAUUAUUCAAUACUUGUUUUUUUAACACAAUUACAAAUAAUUUAUUUGAUAUUAAUUUUUUUCAAUUUAUAACGAUUAAUAUUGUGGCUUAAUAAUUGAGUAUUAUUAUAAAUAAAUCAUUGCAAUAUAUGUAAAAAUAAUUUAAAAUAUAAAAAUUUAUUAAUAUAUAUCAAUACAUGUAAAAAAAAAUUUCGAAAAAUAUUUCCAGGAAAUCUGCCAAACAGCCGAAAAUAUUUUACACAGAUUCAAUCAAACACCAGAAAAUAUUUUCUAGUAAAUCAUUUUACAGAAAAGUAAAAUAUUUUUCCGAAAUCAUUUUACGGAAAAUAUUUUACUGGCAAUCAAACAGACCCUAAAAGUUAGUUAAAUAUGAGCUCAAUUCAACAUAUUUUUAUAAUAAUAAAAAAGUCCAAUUACAGAUACAUAUGUAUUUAUUAUAUAAACAACUUUACACCCAUUGUGUUAAGAGGGAAGAGACUGUCUUCCUAAAUUUUAAUGGCAUUGUUGCUUUUUUGGCUCAUCAUAUUCAAAACAUCUUAUAUAUAUACUUUUUAAUUUAUAUUAUAAAAGUUAUUUACAUCGUAUCUGGAUUGAUAUUAUUGAAUAACUUAACAAUUAAUAAAAUAUUAAUAUUUUGAGAAUUUAAUUGACAUAUUUUAAAAUUUAGGAACUAAUUUCAAAUUUGAGCAACAAUUUAGGGUUUCUAACUCCAUUUUUAAAAAAAAAAAAGCCCGAUUUCUGCUGCUCGUAGAAGAAAGUAUUUUAGUUAAUAGUAUUUUACAAUAAAGCAUUCUCACCGUUGUCUCAAAGCAAACAAAGAGACGAAAAGAGUAGUACAUCAGUAAUUACUUCUAAAUGGCAUGUCCAUGGUAUACCUACCACUUCAAACCACAAGCAUUAGAUCAAAGCAGAACACAAGUGAUCAUCUCAAUGACUAAAACUACAAGCCUUUUGGCCAGUUCUGUAAUUCUAAAAGCGAAACUGUGGUUAAUUUCAACGCAGUUUGUUGCCUUCAUUACCACUGUGAACAGCCAAACCGGCCAUGUUAGCAACAAACUGUAGAUCGGACAAGGAAUAAGACCGGCAAGGAAGGUUGGUCGAGCAGUUAAUGAUGAUGAUGAUGAUGGGAGUUGAUUUUUUACACUGUGGAUGCAGAGGUGGAAGGCAGUUAGACGGCGAUGAUGCCAUUGAUAUUUUUAGUUCCAAUGUUUCCCAAAAGAUUAUUGGGUUUCUUGUCCAAUGAAGAACUGCGAGCUAAUAAGUUCUUGCGUUUCCUAUUGUAGGGAUCUUCAGGCUUGGCAAAAUCUUUAACAGAGGAAACAGCAGCCGCAUCGGCUAAACUUGUAAAGGACUUUGAUUUGCCACCAUAAAACUUGGAUAUGCCUUUUCUGUAAUCAAACAAAACCCGCAAAGAAAAACAGAUUGAAGAACCCAUAAGAAUAACUAUGCAAGAUCUUAUUAAAAGACACCAUUUUCUUGUUCUUCAAGCAAUGGUUAGUAGGAGUAACUAGUAUCAAACCCACAUUUCACUAUUUUUUUUUAAAUUAUAAUAAUAGGGUAAAGCCCAAACAACAAACGCCAAUAACCAUCGAGCCGUCACAUGGAGUUCACAUUUCACUACUUUAAUACGCUUUAAAUAAUACAUGUCCUUAUAUUAAAAGUUAAAGCCACUUCAUCUUUUUGGAAAGAAAUUGCCAAACAAAACCCUCGCUAUUUUUUUAGAUUUACACGUAAAGAGAAAACAAGCCAAAUAUUUUAAUUUUUAUAUUUUGAAUGUUAAAAAUGGUUUACCUCAGAGCAUCCAUUGUAUCCAAAGGUCCUUUGUACUUCAGGUGCUAUCUAAAGAUAUUGGACAAUUAAGAUGAUUGUCAACUGUUUCCAUAAAUUCAAAUAAUUAGGAGAAAUCAACAUUGAAAUAAGUAGUUAUAAUUAUUGACAACUGUUUCCAUAAAUUCAAUUCAGUAAUAGUUAUAUUAAAUGGACAAUUAAGAUUGAAAUAAAUAGUUAUAUUUAUUGUCAACUGUUUCCGUAACUUCAAUUCAUUAGGAGAAAACAAUUAAUAAAUUAUAUUAUAUUAAAAUUAGAUUUACUUUAGAGAAGUAUAAAUGUAAAAAUACAAUAUAAAAAAUGUUUUAGAAUUAAAAUACUAUAUUAAGUUCAAAAUGAUAUUUAUUUGUAAAAAUUAAUGAUAACUUUUACAAUAUAUGAAAUUUACCAGGAUGCAAAAGAUGUUUUUUUUCCAACCCAAAGAGUAUUCUUCUUGUUUUCUGAGAAAAAUUUCCCCCUAAUUCACAUUAUAGGGAAUCAGUCUCAUCAUCAUCACGUGAAAGUAUGCAUGGACAUACCUUCAAGGUUUAAAUGGCUCAAAAGAUCCAUGCUUUUCGCUCUAUAUAAAGGGUGACCUCAGCUUGCAACAUCAUUUUCACCCCUCAAAAACCAGUGCCAUAAACAUGUUUCUCCCAAUCUUUUUCAUUUUCUCUUUCCUAUUUUCCUCCACCAACGCAGCCGACUUCUGUGUUGGGGGCUUGAAUGGCCCUGUAGGCCCUGCAGGCUAUUCUUGCAAGAAGACAGCCACCGAAGAUGACUUCUCUUUCUCCGGCCUCCGUACCGCAGGCAACACUUCGAACCUCGUAAAAGCUGCAAUAACACCAGCCUUUUCGACUCAAUUCCCGGGUGUUAACGGACUCGGCAUUUCAAUAGCUCGUUUGGAUUUAGCUGUUGGUGGAGUGAUACCUAUGCAUACACAACCUAGGGCUUCUGAACUCAUUCUUGUUAUGGAUGGCACACUUUUUGCUGGUUUCAUAUCCUCAGAUAACAAAGUUUACUCCAAAUCUCUGAAUGAAGGAGACAUUAUGAUUUUCCCACAAGGUUUAUUACAUUUCCAAAUCAAUACAGGCAAAACUCAAUCCGUGGCAUUUGUAUCCUUCAACAGUGCAGACCCUGGUGUCCAAAUCCUGGACUUUGCCUUGUUUACAAAUGACUUGCCGACUGACAUUAUUGAAGGAACCACUUUUCUGGAUGCUGCUCAGAUUAAGAAGCUGAAGGGUGUUCUUGGAGGAACUGGUUAAUAUUAUUUGAACUUGUUGAGAGUCCCUUUUUUUUUCGUAUGCUUUCACGUUGCUUGUGUCUUCUUGUCAGUGGUAGUUUGUUGGAAAUUACUAGCAAAAGAGUGAGUCUCUGUUGUGUUUCUUUGUGUUCCUUCUUCAGGUUCUACUGUGAACCAAAAAUGUAAUAAAAAGACCAUCGCUUUCUCGAUCUGAAAAUGUUUAAAUAAAGGCAAUUAUGUUUGUUUAUCUUUCUCCCUUAAAAUGGGAAAUAGCCAACUUCAUUAAUCUCCAAAGAUGAUGGUGAGUAGCUGGAAUUGUUUGGUGGGGAAUACCGCACUGGCAGAAUUUUUGGGAUGACCAUAUACCCCUUCCCCAUCCAUUAAGAAAGGAUAUUUUAUUCGAACCCGGAUAUAAAAUAUUUAAGUAUAUUUAGAUAAAAUUACGCAAUCUUUUACAAAAUAAUAUAUAUAUUGGUUAAAAGUUGGUCACCAUUAAAAUCGACUACUUUCAUGAACCUUAUCAAAUAGUACUAUAAUCCAUAGUCCAAGUUCUUUUGAAAAUUUAUACUGUACUGUACUAGCACUAUGAUCAGCAAUCACUGAACCAAAGAAUGAUGUUGGAGCCAAUAUCUGGACAAAUAUUUGUACUAAAUGUAGACAUAAUGUUGGUAUAAACUAAAAAUUUUGAUAUGUUUGAGUGAAUACUAAACAAGUGAAAAGAGGAUUUAAGCUUUAGGUUAAUUGAUUAGAAAAUUUAAAAUAUAUCAAUCAAAAUUGUUCCAAAUACUAACAUCAUAGCCUUAUCAUUAUGGUAAGUAUUAAAUGUAAAUUCAAUUUAACAUACUUUUAUAAAAAUAUAUUCAAUAACAAAUACAUAUGUAUUUAUUAUAUAAACAACUUUGCACCUAGCUUUCUUAAUUUAAUUUAUAUAUUUUAAAAAUUAUAUACAAUUGACAUUUAACGAAUAACUUAGCGACUAAAUUAAUAAAAUAUUAAUAUUUUGAGAACUUAAAUUAAAAUAUUUUAAAGCUUAGGAACUAAUUUCAAAUUUGAGCAAUAAUUUAGGGUUUGAACUCCAUUAAAAAGACAAGCCCAAUUUUUGCUGCAAGGUAAAAGAAAGUAUUUAGUUAAUAGUAUUUUACAAUAAAGCAUUCUCACCAUUGUCUCAAAGCAAACAAAGAGACGAGAAGAGUAGUACAUCAGUAAUUACUUCUAAAUGGCAUGUCCAUGGUAUACCUACCACUUCAAACCACAAGCAUUAGAUCAAAGCAGAACACAAGUGAUCAUCUCAAUGACUAAAACUACAAGCCUUUUGGCCAGUUCUGUAAUUGUAAAAGCGAAACUGUGGUUAAUUUCAACGCAGUUUGUUGCCUUUAUUACCACUGUGAACAGCCAAACCAGCCAUGUUAGGAGUUGUAGCAGCAACAAACUGUAGAUCAGACAAGGAAUAAGACCGGCAAGGAGGGUUUGGUCGAGCAGUAAAUGAUGAUGAUGAUGGUUUGAUGAUGGUAGUUGAUUUUUUACACUGUGGAUGCAGAGGUGGAAGGCAGUUAGACGGCGAUGAUGCCAUUGAUAUUUUAGUUCCAAUGUUUCCCAAAAGAUUAUUGGGUUUCUUGUCCAAUGAAGAACUGCGAGCUAAUAAGUUCUUGCGUUUCCUAUUGUAGGGAUCUUCAGGCUUGGCAAAAUCUUUAACAGAGGAAACAGCAGCCGCAUCGGCUAAACUUGUAAAGGACUUUGAUUUGCCAUUAUAAAACUUGGAUAUGCCUUUUCUGUAAUCAAACAAAACCCGCAAAGAAAAACAGAUUGAAGAACCCAUAAGAAUAACUAUGCAAGAUCUUAUUAAAAGACACCAUUUUCUUGUUCUUCAAGCAAUGGUUAGUAGGAGUAACUAGUAUCAAACCCACAUUUCACUACUUUAAUACGCUUUAAAUGAUUCAUGGCCUUUCAUUAAAGUUAAAGCCACUUUAUCCUUUUUGAAGAAAUUGUCAAACAAAACCCUAGCUAUUCCUCUAGAUUUACUUGCAAAUUUCAACGAAGAAUCGAGUUUAAAUCAAAACCCAUAAAGAAAAAAACAAGCCAAGUUUUUUAUUUUUAUUUUUUGAAUGUUAAAAGUGGCUUACCUCAAAGGCAAAAUCUCCUGUAGAGCAUCCAUUGUAUCCAAAGGUCCUUUAAGCUGGCUUUGUACUUCAGGUUCCGGUGAGUCAUCAUCAUCCGAUGGUGAUUCACCGGAAUCAUCGCUGUUCCUUCCUAUCGACGACGAGCUGCAAGACCCCGACUCAUCAUCGUCUCUCUCUUCCUCCUCUUCCUCCGUCGAAAGCAACCGCAACCUAUCAUCUCUUUUCUCCUCCGGCGAAUCAUAGACGGAGAUACACUGCAUCCCGUGGAUAAACCCCGAGCGUCUCAUUGAACUACUAUUUUCAUUAUUCCUAUCAUAGACAAGCGACAUCGUUUAGGGAAAUGAAAAGUGCAGAGAAAAGCAAGGGAACUUAAACCCAGUGGGUAAUAAUAAUAAUAUCUGGUGAAGUGCACAUGGGAGAUGGCGAUAAUUCCGCCAUUGUUGAGAUAACACAGAGAGAGAAAAUAAAAAAUUAAAAGAAGUUACUUUAAUUUUCUACAGAAAAAAAAAGGUUAAAUAUUUAAGUACUCAAAACGGAAUAAAGAAAACGAAAUUCUUUUUAUCGGAAAUUGUAGAGAAAGAAAAAAAUGAAUAAAAAAGAUUAUCUGAAAUUCUGGAUAAAGAUAUUUUGAUUGGUAAGAAUUAAGAAAGAGAGAAAGGAGGCAGGACUAUGUUGUAGGCCAGGAUACAAUGAUUCGCGUUUAUUCUACAUUUUGAUUGACUUUUACCUGACGUGAACGGUUAUGAUUCACACUUGAUCACAUGAUGUUGAGAUUUGUGUGGAUAGUGAUGAUAACGUAUUUUUGUCAGUUGAAUUAAGUGAGUAUUAUUUGAAGACAAUAAAGAAAUAUAUGAAAAAAGGUUUUGCCGUUGAUUAGGGAAGAUUUUUGUUUAACUAAGACUUUCACGUUUUCUAAUAAAAUUUUGAUAUUUUAUAAUUAAGGAUUAACCAUAAUAAAACAAAACUUUUCUUUUAUCCAAAUAUAUUACAAAAAAACAAUUUAUUUUGGAUUUGUCUUUUCACUCUUUUAUAGGAAAUAUAUUUGGUGACAGUCUGCAACAAAAGAAAACGUGGCAACCAUGCGAUCAACGAAAGCGACACGUGUCGGUCAUACUUUGGUCUUGAUUGUUGAGCUUUUUUGUGUAUGUGUCAUUGACAGUUAUCUUUGAAUUUCGAGUUUAAUUAGAAAUUUGAGAAAAAUUGUUUUUAAUAUGCCUAUAGCCAUAGGCCCAAUAUCAAAAACUCUUCUUUAGCUUAAGCAUUGGCCCAAUUGAGCUUUAAUGAUCCAAAGUUCAGGAGAUAAAAGCCCAAGACUUGGAACCCAUUGUCUCGUUUCGCUAGGACGGAGCAGUGGGAGCCAGCGACCUCUAACAAAGCCAGGCUACAUUUCCCACAAGCGACGCUGAAAACCCUAAUUUUGCCGUUCCUUCGCAUCUAGCAUCGAAAUCCCCCCCCCCAUUAUACCUGACAGUUCUAAGAUCUUUUCUUUUUUCCCAUUUUCUUGUUUUCUUAUUUCGGAUUGCUUUCGUUUAUCCAGUUUUUGGUUGUCAAUGUCAAUCGUUUCAAUGCUCAGUCAUCAUCCGAUGAUCUAAUUAAGUUAUUUAAUGCUUGAGAUUUAUCUGGGGUUUUGGAUCUUUUUCUGGUAAGAUAUUUUAUCGUUUAGUUUGAGCUAUGAAUCGAUUUGCUAUGGUACCCUAUUUGGAUUUCUCGCCAUCUCCAUGAAGGGUAGAGAGUACUAUCAAGGACCCAACUUUGAAUCUGGGGUUCCCAGUAGAAAUUUUGGUCAUUGCCAAGAAGAGAAUUUUGAGUAUCUAAUUAGGCCUAGAUAUGGUGUGGGCUUACAUAUGACCCUUUUUUCAUUCACAACUCGUGCCUCAAGGGUUCGACCCGCCUCCAAGCUCUUCGUUCCUCAGUAUCACAUUCAAUUUCACGGAGGAUCUCACCCGCCAGGCUAUAAAGAUGUAAAGGUAGUUCAAAAGCACGAGGCUUGGUUUGUUAAGGUUGUUUGCACUCUAUUUCUUUAUUCCCAACCUUUGAGUGAUCGCUCUCUGGGUUAUUUGAGCAAGCAUUUGUCACCUUUAAUUGAAUUACAAGUUGUUAAAUGGUUAAAACGAUCCAGCAUUAGGGUUGAAGUUUUUCGAGUUCAGUAGAGUUAAUUUUAAUAUUACUCAUUCAUUUUGGACUUAUACUUUGCUUAUGAGAUCACUUUGUAAUAUGGGUCUACAUGAGUCGGCUAAAUUAGUUUUUGAUUAUGCGAGGAUUGACAGGCAUUUGCCUGAUGAUACUAUGGUAGGAUUCAUGAUUUCGUCUUUUGCGAGGGCAGGUGACUUUGGAAUGGCAAAGAAGUUGCUUGCUGAGAUUCAGUCCGAUGAAGUGGGGAUCGACAUUUUUGCUCUAAACAAUUUGUUGCAUAUGAUGAUUAAGCAAAAUAAACUAGAAGAGGCAGUUAGCUUAUACAAAGAGAAUCUAGGAUUGAACUUUAACCCAGAUAAUCGGACAUUUAAUAUUCUAAUUCUAGGCCUGUGCAAAGCUCGGCAGGUGGACAAGGCUUUUGAGUUUUUUAAUGAUAUGUGGAUUUUUGGUUGUUUUCCUGAUAUUCUUACCUAUAACACCAUUAUAGGUGGGUUAUGUAGGGCAAAUGAGGUAGAUAGAGGUCACGAGUUAUUGAAUGAAAUUCGAUUGAGAGAUGAUUGUUCACCAGAUGUUGUGACUUAUACAUCAGUCAUAUCUGGUUACUGUAAGUUGGGUAAGAUGGGGAAGGCUUCUGCUCUUCUUAAUGAGAUGAUUAAUUCAGGAACGGUGCCUAGUGCCGUCACUUUUAAUGUUCUGAUUGAUGGCUUUGGCAAGGUUGGAGAUAUGCUUUCUGCUAAAUCCAUGUAUGAGAAGAUGGUUUCUUUUGGUUGCGUUGCUGAUGUUGUAACCUUUACUUCCUUGAUUGACGGAUACUGUCGCAAUGGAGAUGUGAACCGGAGUUUGCAGCUUUGGAAUACAAUGAAAGUGAGAAAUAUAUCUCCAAAUGUUUAUACUUUUUCUAUUAUUAUCAAUGCUCUAUGCAAGGAAAACAGACUGCAUGAGGCUCGUGAACUUUUGAAGGAGUUGACAUGUACAAAUAUUGUUCCGAAACCGUUUAUCUUCAACCCUGUGAUUGACGGGUUCUGCAAGUCUGGGAAUUUGGAUGAGGCCAAUUUGAUAGCAGUGGAAAUGAAGGAGAAGAAAUGUUAUCCUGAUAAAGUGACGUAUACUAUUCUCAUUAUCGGGCAUUGUAUGAAAGGAAGAAUGCUUGAAGCAAUUGGCAUUUUCGAUAAAAUGUUAUCAGUUGGUUGUACACCUGAUGAUUUCGCCGUGCAUUCUUUGGUAUCUUGCCUUUUCAAGGCCGGGAUGCCUAAUGAAGCCUCCCGUGUUUCAACAAUAGCAUCACAGGGCAAGAAGUCGGCAAGUUCAUCAUCUUUGGAUAACAAUAUUCCUUUGAGGAUAAACAGAGUUGUGCCUGUUGCUGCUUAAGAGAAAGCCCCGUAUCAUUGAACUCAGUCUGGUCCAGAGAUGUUGAAAAGGCCCUACAGUAUGCAUCAAGUAUCCAAUUAAGCAUAUCCAGCUUGAACCACAAAUGACCUUCCAUUAAGUAAGUCUCUUUUUGUUUUCUUUUGUUCAUGUCAUAAACUUUUUGAUCAUGCUGUUUAAAAAUGUACUUAUAAAUAAUACAACUGAAUGAUUUUCUCUUUCUCCCAACCAAGUGACUUGUAUUAGCUAGCAAGUCGAUUGAUCAGUUGCUCCAGUGUACCGUAAGGUUAAAAAUAACAUUUAUACUCAUUAUAUGAGUUCUAAUCCCUUUCUUCAAUCAUGCUCCAAACUAUAUAACUAGUAAAUGCUAUUUUUAAUAGAUAAAGGAGAAGAGUGAUAUCAAGUUGCAUUUAUUUUCUUCAACGAUUAUUCUUAACACAAUUUUUCUUUUCUAUGAGUUUGCAGGAUAACAAGUAAGCAUAUUUCCUUGUAUUCUGCCAUUGCCUCUUUACAUUAUAUGAGGGUGUAAUAACAUCUUAAAUCUGAAUUUGGUAGGAGAUCAUCACCAAUGAAUAUUUUUGUUUGGCUUCAAAUGCUGGAUAAUGCUAUAGAAAACAGGCAUGAUGCUAAAUGAGUGGCACGUACCACGGAGGUUGGCCCUUUGUCCUUUCACUUCUGUAUGUCAAAUGAGAAAACAAAGCAAUUUCGUGUUUUCAGUAAGGAACAUGGAAAAAAGAUGGAUCAAAUUCAUGUUUUUUCCUUAUUUAUUCUGGACAAUUCAAUACACUCUGUUUUUUGGCCCCCCACAUUUUAGUGUGUACAGAACUUUAGAAAAUUUCAAGAAUGAAUGAAAUGUAUUUGAGGACAUGAUGAUCAUCAAUAAAGGGAUUUCUGUCUACAUGGUUCUUUUUUGUUUCAGACGGGUCCAUGAGUUAUAUUCUUGUAUUCCAAAUUUAUGCUUUGAAUAAAAGACAAACAUAACAAGGAUAUAAAUUUAUUUUUCAAUAUUGGCAAAUUUAUUACACAACAAGCAUCUAAUUGAAGAAAAUUUACAGUAUUGUCUUUGUUGUGUACGAUACAUUUGCUUCUUUUACGUGUCUGGACCUUAUUGUAGGCUGUUAAGCACAGCACUUUGAACUAGUUCAUGAUCUCUCCCUCAGAUCAAGCAACAACGGGGUAUGAUGCACAUGUUGCCACACCUGGCAGCGAAUUGGAGUUACGAAGAAUAACAAGGAAUUAAAUGAUAAUCAGAGAUUCAAUGAGGUUGAGACUUACCACACAUGUUUUUGCCCAUUUCCAUCUUGAAGUAGCCCUUGUCACCCCAUUCUGCUCCCCAUGAGUUCUUAAUGAGCCAAUACGGGACUCCAUUUUCAAUUCCAUAUCCAACUGCAAGAACAGGUGGUUCACAUCCUGCCAAAUAGCCACCAUUGCUAGUAAGAAAACGUCGAUCCAUCAUAUAUACAUAUAUAAACUGGCCAUCAUUCAACCCAAUUGAAAGGCGCAGUUUUGACCAAAAAUACAAUUUUUUCCAACUCCGAGCAAAAAAAAGGUAAAAACAUAAGGAACUUACCGAGGAAGUGUUGCCACAUUUGUCACUGGUGUAAACCCCGCUUUUGUAAAAAUUGAAACUUGGGACAACUUCAAAUGCCACGCUAACUGGUCGAACCAUAGCAACUGCAUGCUUUAAUUCAUCUUCAGAACCCUGUGUUUGAUCGUAAAGAUUUGAACAUUCCAAAUGAUGAAAUAUAAUAGUUCAAUACAUAGGACAGAUACUCCCAAGUCAUUUGUUUUUGGGACUAGGGAUCUGAUUGAAUUCCAAUAUUCAGCUAAGGUCGCAAGCUAGAACAGUCGAUCACAGCUAUGUAUAUGGAACUGCUAGGAUUUAGAACACUGAAAAACAACGAUAAACACAUCUUUUUUAAGUUGCACAUUGGACAGGUUUAGAACUAGAACAUAUAUCGAUACAGAUUAUCCAAUCAAAUUCAGCCAAGAACAAGAGUUGGUCAUCUAUUUUUUGCUUCAGGGUCAUGAUCAUAUUCUUAGCGGAAAACCAGAAGAGUUAUGAACUUACCAAGGUAAUGUUGACAGCGUCAAUGACUUGGACACCAACAUUUUCGGAUGAGAAUGUGCAUUGACCAUCUUUUGCUGUAUAAGGGUAUGCCUCCUCCGUAUCAAGGCCACCGUUGUAUUUGAUAUACUCAAAGGCUUGGGAUGGCAAACCACCAUUGCACCCAAAGUUGUUAAAGGCUCCAGCACAGUCCACAAGCUGCUGCUCCGAAAGAGAGAUUCCUUUCCCAAAUGCCUGAUGGUAAGCAGCUUCAAGAGCUCCAGUAGUACUGCAAUAUGCAAAUGCAUAAGGUCAAAACUUACUACUUUACAAGCUAAUCUAGUAGCUCGGUAAAAAAAAAAUUCUCUAAAUCAUAAUCAAAAGCUAACCUGAAUGCCAGCAAGAUCCACAGGACCCCUGAUUUUUGACCGGGCUAACUAUGCCUGAUUCCCUCCAGUCUUUCUGUCAAUAUCAUAUCAUAUAUCAAAAGAGUUACCAUUAAUAAAGCCCUGCAUUCUUAUGUCAUAUGGCGACUGUCGCAGAUUAUAUCGGCUCAUAGAUUUCGGGUUAUACCUUGGCACAUUCCACACCAACGAAGAGCUGGAAGACUGUCUCAAUAAACUGGCCACAGUUUUCGGCCGAAAAGGAUUGAAAUAUUUGGUACAUGAAAGGCAUAACAUUAGUAUCUAAUUCUUAUUUUCUAGUGGCUCCCCCUCCUUUUGGCAACUUACACCAUGAACUUUCCCCAAACGUCCUACCCAAACAAUCUCGAUUAUCGCCUUUUUGAUGAGAUCUUUCAAUGAAGGUAAUUCCAUUGUUGGGUUUUCAAUCCCUUAUCAGUUGAAAAUUGUGGCAAUUUAUCGAAGCAUAAUUUCCAAACUCCUCAUUGGCAUGAAAUGUGCCCUGAAAUGUCCACGCUUUCCCCAAACUAUCUAUAACAUCCAUGCAAAACAGAAAACCCUUCUUUGAAAGCUAAUGCAAUAACAGGUAUAUAUCUCCAUAGCUAAAGCAAAAAAAAUUUUAAGUUUACCGCUUAGCAGCUUUAGAGAACAAGAAUAUCAGCCAAGUCUUGGCACACCAAAAGAUUCCACCAUACUAUCUUUUACAACUUGUUGCAUGAUGAAAUCAUACCGACUAUUGGAUUGUAUUAGGUGGAUUUAUUGUCCAAUGAAUUAUAUAGAAAACAUUGUAGAAAACCUUAAUCUUCGUAUCUAAUGGUUUCUUUUUAUAUUAAGUGAAAGUACCGAUUCAGGAAGGACGACAUCAGUGAGCUGGUUGAUGCCCUUUCUGGUGGCAGAGCAGUUUUGAGCAGCUCCAAGCCUGUGUUUUCGAAACUCAUCCCAUGUUAAAUCAGCAAAACUCUGCAUCGUUUGAAUCAAUAAGAAAAAGAAAGAUGAGUUAUAUAAUUGAAUGCAGAUUAAGCAAAUUUUAUUUGUACAUAUCACCUGCAAGUGCAAUAAUCAAAAUCAUUCGCUCACUGUAAAGACAGUGUUGAUUUUUUCUAUUGUGACCUCUAAGCCUACAGUUGGCCUUUAACCAUGGAAAUCAACCGAACUAAAUUAGAUCCUAGUAAGUCAAGUUGGUAACUAAAUCAGAUCAGAUACAACUUGAUUCGUCAGCGGAGCACAGAUAUUAUACAAUGAAAAAUCUUCAAAACAAAAUUAAAAAAAUAAAAAAAUUGAACGUACGAUUCACAGAUAGAGAAUAAGGCAAUCCCUUCUUGUUAGUAGAUCUGAUUAAAUCCAUAUUAUCUUUGAAAAUCUGAAACCGUAGCUUUAUCUCCUCAACAUCCUCGUACCUCUUUCCAUGCCUAACCAAAAACGAUUAAAAAAAGAAAAAGAAAGAAAAUUUAAUAUCAGCUUCCAUUUUCUUUAUCUUCUAUUUUCCUGGGAGAACAAACGUAAGAAUUAAGAUAAGUGUAAUGAUGCAAUGUUGGAGUUUACUUGUAAGCAAAACGAGCAAAGGAGAUAGCACGACGAGUAUGACCGAUGACACGAAGAACAGAGGAGUCGAGACCAUCGGAUACCAUCUGAAUGGGGUUCGUGUCCUCGAAGGUUUGAUGCUGAGGCGAGGCAGCAUAGCAGAAAGAUGACGGAGGACAUUAACGUUAAGCCAGCCAUAAUUAUGUUGCUUUUUCACUGACUGUACGUUUCUUUGUUUUCGGGAUUUUAGGUUAGGCUUAAGCUCCUUUUAUGGAGAGAAAUUUAGAAGGCUAUGGGUAGUAGUUACUAGUUAGGUGAAUCGAAAUGAUUAGGAUGUCGAUCCCAACGGGGGGUAUAAAUCCGUAAAGUUAAAAGUCUUUUAUGAUUAGGAAAGUUAUGGUCGAAGCAAAAGCAAAAAGCCUUCACUCUGAGGGAAAAGAAAAACACAGAUCACAAUUAUUGUGUUGUGUAUUCAAUAUAUUUAUUUUUUUAAAAUGAGCUAUAAACUAGAUCGUCGAAUAUUAUACCAUAUUUUAAAUUAAUUUUAGAAAAUAUAAAAGAUUGAAUUCCAAAGAGAAUGAAAAAUAGAUCAAGGCUCCUUAAUUUAUAUGUACCAACUACCAAAAACAAAACACUCCUUAAUUUAUCUUGCUCUGAUCCAUAUUAUCAAACCAAAAUAUAUACGAUCGUAUACAUGUUAUUCUAUAGCCCUUUACAAUUAUUAAUGAUAUUUCAAUGAUAUUUUUUUAUGCCAUUGAACACAUGAUUUUGGUAAUAUUUUAAUCUGGACUUUGAAUCUCAAACCUUAAACAUAAACACAAACUAAAAACCAUUAAACCAUAAACCUAAAACCCAAAUCCAAAC
This 20850-nucleotide long non-coding RNA is filed under the name Gossypium barbadense (sea-island cotton). Its description in RNAcentral is "long non-coding RNA (GBAR_LNC023164)". The record is from RNAcentral. Lineage: Eukaryota; Viridiplantae; Streptophyta; Magnoliopsida; Malvales; Malvaceae.